Molecule: RNA transcript, 3200 nt
Organism: Solanum verrucosum
Lineage: Eukaryota; Viridiplantae; Streptophyta; Magnoliopsida; Solanales; Solanaceae
Gene name: protein TRANSPARENT TESTA 9
Exons: 22
Source: RefSeq, a predicted model, not a curated record
GCUCCAUUUUGAGAAUUUCCUCUCACCGGAGGGCAAUCUUCUUCGAUCUCGCACGCACAAACACGCACUUUUGGGUGUCUAAAUUUCCUCAAACUCAAACCCUAAUCCUCAAUUGCGAUCUCCAUCUCUAUACCUCUGUGUUACUGUGAAGAAGAAUUUGAAUUGUAGGGGUUAAUCGAUGAUCAAAGGCACUGUGACUUCUUGAAUUGAAGUCACGGUUUUGGAAGAGAAUGAGCUGUGUGGUGAAAUCCUGAGAACAAUUCGUUGUUAUUAUUGCUAGAAACGCCAUGUGGUUCUCCUUUUGGAGAUCCAGAGAGCGAUUCUCCUUGGAUGAAUUCAGAUUUUUGACUGAUCAGCUGAUGAAAGUUCAAGUUGUUAAUGAGGUCAACAAGGAUUUUGUGAUUGAGGCACUAAGAUCAAUUGCGGAGUUGAUAACAUAUGGUGAUCAACAUGAUGUGGCCUAUUUUGAGUUUUUCAUGGAGAAGCAGGUGAUGGGGGAGUUUGUACGUAUAUUAAGAAUUAGUAGAACUGUUAUUGUGUCGCUUCAGUUGCUGCAGACGAUGAGUAUUGUGAUCCAAAACUUAAAAAAUGAGCAUUCUAUUUAUUACAUGUUUAGUAAUGAGCACAUUAAUCACCUUAUAACAUAUUCUUUUGACUUUCGUAAUGAAGAGCUUUUGUCUUAUUACAUAUCCUUUCUUAGAGCAAUAAGUGGAAAGUUGAACAAAAACACCAUUUCCCUUCUUGUGAAGACUGAUAAUGAAGAAGUAGUAUCAUUUCCACUCUAUGUUGAGGCCAUACGCUUUGCGUUUCAUGAAGAAAGCAUGAUUCGAACUGCAGUACGUGCAUUAACCUUGAAUGUUUAUCAUGUUGGCGAUGAGGCUGUUAACAAAUUUGUUGCCAGUGAUCCUCAUGCCGAUUAUUUCUCAAAUUUGGUCAAAUUUUUCCGGGAGCAAUGCAUCAACUUGGACAAGUUGGUUAAUGCUUCAAAGUGUAUGGGUCCAGCUACCAGUGGUUCUAUCCUUUCAUCUGUUGAUGAGAUUGAGGAUAACCUCUAUUACUUUAGUGAUGUUAUUUCAGCAGGGAUUCCAGACAUUGGGAGGCUAAUAACAGACCUCAUGUUGAAGGUGCUGAUAUUUCCAUCAGUACUUCCUUCUUUACGGAUGGAAGUUGUUAAAGAUAGUGAUGCAGGAAUUGGAACCGCAACUUCCUUGUAUUUACUUUGUUGCAUCUUGCGCAUUGUUAAGAUAAAAGAUUUGGCAAAUAUUGUUGCUGCUGUUCUUCUUUGUGAUAUAGAAACAUUCGUCCCAAUGUCUGAAGCUAAACUGAAUGGUUUCAUGGUUAACCAUGAUAUGUCACAUGAAAAUCAAGAUUCAGAAAAUAGUGGCUUCAGAUCAGAUUCUGAUGGUCAAAGUUUACGGGUUUUAAUUCCGAACAUAUCCAGCUCCUUAAAUAGUCACCCAGAAGACGACAGUUCUCAACCAGAUCAUGGGAGCACAUAUUCUGCGUUAAGGGAGGCCUUACUUUCUUAUAUUACUACUGGUGACGACGUUCAAGUUUCGGGUUCUUUAAGCAUGUUGGCUACACUAUUGCAGACUAAAGAGCUGGAAGAAUCAAUGCUUGACGCUCUUGGAAUUCUUCCACAAAGAAAACAACAGAAGAAACUCUUGUUGGUAUGUUGCUGCCGUAAAGAAGCUUUGGUUGGUGAAGGAUCUGCGGAAGAGCAACUUUUUUCCUCAGAAAAUAUGGUAAAGGAUGGAAUAGGUAGUGAAAUGGAUUGCUACUUCCAAAAGUUGAAGGAGAAAUACGGAUUGCUAUGCGUGUGCAAGGAAGUUACAGUGACUCCUCGUAGACAGAGAUUUCAAGUACUCGAUGCAUUGGUCAGUCUAUUCUGCAGGUCAAAUAUCUCUGCAGAAACAUUGUGGGAUGGUGGUUGGCUUUUGCGCCAGUUGCUUCCAUACAGUAAGGCGGAUUUUAGAAGUCAUCAUCUUGAAUUAUUGAAAGAUACAUUCCACAAUUGUACUAGCUGUAUUCUUGAUGAAACAAAAGGAAGUUGGCCUGAUCUGCUAAUUAUGGUACUAUGUGAUGAGUGGAGGAAGUGCAAAAGAACUAUUGAAGCUUCUUCUCCAAGGAAAGAUCCUAAAUCAAUGCUUUUGCCAGCACACAAGUCCCUUUCUGAAGAAGUUGCUUCUGGGGAAUCAUCUUUUGCUGCUGGUGAAAGAUUGUUCGAGAUUGUCAAGGUGUUUGUACUACUUCAUCAGCUUCAUAUUUUUUCAGAAGGAAAAUUGUUGCCCGAUCAACCUCCUAUACAUCCUACAGUUGAUGUCAUGGAAACAUCCCGAGCAAAAAGGGCUGGCAUUGACAGUUUGGGUCCAAAACAAAGCGCUGAAUUAAGUCUUGUUGAUGCGGUUCCUUGUAGAAUUGCAUUUGAGAGGGGCAAAGAACGUCAUUUCCACUUUCUAGCCAUCACUAUAGGAACCUCUGGAUGGCUUAUCCUUGCUGAUGAAUUACCUGUGAGGCCAAGCUUUGGUGUGGUUCGUGUAGUUGCACCUCUGGGUGGUUGCAAUCCCAGAAUUGACGAGAAGCACAUGAGAUGGUUACACCUUCGAAUACGUCCAUCCUCUUUCCCUUGCAUAGAUGGUGCAAAGCAUACAGCCCAUCCUAAAGUCAAGUCAAAAGCUUUGGUCGAUGGGCGGUGGACUCUGGCUUUUCGAGAUGAAGAUUCUUGCAAAGCUGCUUUUUCUAUGAUUGUUGAAGAGCUCAAGUUACUGAGUAGUGAGGUUGAGAGAAGAAUAAAACCUAUGCUUGCCAUUGAAAGAACUAUUGACACUUCAACAAAAUAGAUUCAGGUGUCAUGAGAGUACGUCUACAAGAAUAUGACCAUAUAGGGAUUUUUGAGAUUUUCACCAGUUUGAUAUUUCAUUUUCUCUCCCUCUCUACCCCAAUAUCAUUUUACAGCAGGUGGUGGAGAUAAUAUUAAAGCUUUACCACCCUUUUGUACAUGUUAAAGGAAGCCCUAGGUGUCUGUAAAUUAGAGUAUGUGAUAGUGCCCAUUCUUGUAUAUUAGGUUACUUUUAUCAUUUCUGAUUUAUUAACUUCACUAUUAUGUAUGGUCAAUUUUUUAGUUCUUUGAAUCCUCCUUCCUCACAUAUGUAAAGAUGUUGUAGCAACUCUGCAAAAUGUAAAAGUUGUGACUUGUGAGA